Molecule: transfer RNA, 75 nt
Filed under: Mycobacteroides abscessus subsp. abscessus
Lineage: Bacteria; Bacillati; Actinomycetota; Actinomycetes; Mycobacteriales; Mycobacteriaceae
Description: tRNA-Lys(ctt)
Rfam family: tRNA
About the family: Transfer RNA (tRNA) molecules are approximately 80 nucleotides in length. Their secondary structure includes four short double-helical elements and three loops (D, anti-codon, and T loops).
Source: RNAcentral
GCGCCCGUUAGCUCAGUUGGUAGAGCAGCUGACUCUUAAUCAGCGGGUCCGGGGUUCGAGCCCCUGACGGCGCAC